Molecule: long non-coding RNA, 5205 nt
Organism: Ailuropoda melanoleuca (giant panda)
Lineage: Eukaryota; Metazoa; Chordata; Mammalia; Carnivora; Ursidae
Exons: 2
Source: RefSeq, a predicted model, not a curated record
GCAGCCUCCCCUGCUGAGCAGGGGACAUGGGGCUCGAUCCCAGGAUCCUGAGAUUAUGACCUGAGCAGAAAGCAGGUGCUUAACCGACUGAGCCACCCAGGGGCCCCUGAAACCAUUUCUUUUCUAAGUAUCUUCUGCACACACCUAACUAAUGAGGGUUUGUUUGGGGUGACAGAAAGGGAUAAGAAUGCCAGUUUGAGGAUUUAAAAAAAACAGUUAUUUUAUCCUGAUACAAUACAACGUGAAAGAAUCCUUUGGGGGAUGGGGAAAGCAAGGGGCCUAUGUGGAGAAUUUUGUGGGCUGGAGUGUGUCCUUUACAUAUACCUUUUAUAGGCACACAGGUGCACACUUGUGAUGUUGGGUAAGACUGUUAGGGGAAGGCAAAGGGAGCAGAGAGAGAUGAACAAAUGGAAAUUUCUGGAGGUCAGGGAUUUGGUGCCAGGUCCCUUGGCCUGGCACCUGAUGCCACAUGUAAGACUGAGGAGGGCCACAGUAAACAUUUGGUAGGUUCACUUUAACUCAACCCCUGUAAAGCUGGAAGGCCCUGAGAAUUUGGAGAGCUCCACCUGCUGCUGCUUGGCCAUUUGAUUUUCCUUCCUUUCUUCAUAGAGCCACUGCUGCCCCCUUCUGGGGUUGGUAGGUAUUUCUGGGCGGCACACUUUCUAACGGGCUCCGCGGUGUCCUACAGGUUGAUAAGCUUGGUGCUCCGAGUCUCCCAACUCUCCAGGCCUGGAUGGAGUCUGGACAGACCCAGGUCCCUUGUGCUCUGAGGGAAGCCUUGUUCCUGGAGAUAAUAUAUAUCUUGGAGGAUUUGCAGAGUAUUUGGCUUUAGCGGGGCUGGAGUUGAAAAAGGGAUUAUUCUGUUUGGAUAGCUGUGGUAGAAAGAUGCCUACGUUGGGAGUCAAGAGAACUGGAAUCCAGGCCAACCCUGAGCGUUGAGCUUGGGCUUUCUGAGCCUCAUUUCCCUUUUCUGUAAAAUGGGAGGCUAGGCCAGGCCAGUUGUGUUCCGGAGAGGGUGAGGGGCUUUAGCUGGGAUGGCCUCGGCCUCACUGCCCGGCAGCUCCACUUGGAGCGGUUUUAUUUAUGGGGAGUUGAAGAUGAGUUUGCAGGAAACAAAUGUCCUCAAGAGUCUGAGAGCCACUGCACUACGUGAUCUCUGGGAUCUGUCCAGGUCUAAUGGUGUGAUUUUAUGAACUUAGAAUUGAAUCACAGACUUGAGAGCUGAAGUCAUGGUGCCAAACACUGACUGCUCCAUACGUGCUGUGGUGUUUUGCAGGCGGACAGUCCGGAAGACAUGCACAGCUGGAUCAAGGAGAUCGGGGCCGCUGUCCAGGCCCUCAAGUGCCACCCCAGAGAUAUGUCCUUUUCUAGAUCCAUCUCUUUGACUCGCUCUGGAAGCUCCAGCCUCUCAGGGGGGCCCAACUCUGUCCUGUGCAGGGGGCGGCUACCUGUGGAAGAGAAAAAAGCUCUAUGCAAAGCUCCCUCUGUGGCUUCCUCCUGGCAACCCUGGACCCCAGUCCCCCAGGCGGGGGACAAGGUGCUUCCAGCUGAAGAGACUCCCGGGGACUCUUUGUUCAUGCCUCGACUUGGGGAGAGUAGUACUUCUGGGGUGCUGCCCAGCUCCCGGAUAAGGCACAGGUCGGAGCCCCAGCACCCCAAGGAGAAACCAUUUCUGUUCAGCCUUGAUGACGAGAGCAUACGGACUUCUGAUGUGUGAUAGGGCAUAGUGACCUGGGAGGGGGGAGGACUCAAGAAAAGGAGGCCAUGACUCAGUUUCCCUACGUUUUGGAUGACCGUCAGAGACCCUCUGGCACUCAUAUUCCUGUGGAUGCUCUGUGGGAGGGGCCCAUCCAGCAGGCCUGUUUGGUGUUUUUUUUUUUUUUUUUUCAAUAUCAAUGCAGUGUAUUUAACUUGGAAACUCACUACGUUAGACCUGUAGGCACACUCAGUGGAGAGCACGUUGCCUCUGCUUUGACUGCCUUAAGGUUUUCUUGGUGAGAGGAGGUUGGGAGUGCAAUUUCAUUCCUAACCAAGUUUUAUUUCCUUGUCCUAGUUGUAGUUUCUUCCUUUAUGUUCCAGGCCAGGCACAGAAUCUUGGGCCAGUCAUCUGGUUUAUCCAAUUCCUAUUUAUUGGCUGAGGUCUGACUGUGAAGUAGGAAGGUGGUAACUAACCCAGCUGGCUUGCCUGGGUUACAUUCUGAAAAGAGGCGUUAAAAUCUGGGGGCUGGCAGGUAGCUCUCAGAAUGUCUAGGAGGCUAGAUCCUCCCAGGGGACCUCCAUAGGGGAAUAGGGAUCUCGUGUAAGGUAUGGGGAAACAUUCAACCUCAGUGUAUUAGCCAAUUUUGGGAAUUAUUCUGUUCUUGUCUAUGACCCCAAAUAAUGUCAACGUCAGUGAUAGACCUGCCCACCCAGUUUCUGUGUCAGGCCCUGGGGAUGGGUUUAUCAGUGUUAAAAGUUAUGACUGUUGAGAAUAGAGCAGACAUUUCCAUUGCUAUGGUGUUAUUUGGAAGUUCAGAGGGUUGAUAAGUGUAGGAUAAUUCCCUUGUGUGAGAGAUCAGAUCUCUAUUUUAGAAUGUUAGAAUUGCUUUAGAGCAGGGGCUGGGAAAAGACGGACAUCCAGAUAAACUUCAUCCAGAUAAACUUUCCUGAUCCGUGUUUUCCAGACAGAAGAAAAGGUCAGUUUUAGCACAGAUUUCUUGAAUCCUUACUUCAUAGCUCUCUUCAAUGGGCUGAUAUUAGUCUAAUUUUAAGUGCUGUAUAUUAUAUACCCUGGCAGAUUUGCUUUCUACUUUUUCUGUUGCCCUUUGAAUGAAGCCUUGUGUAUUUGCAUGAUCAAACCUUAUAACCUGGUAAGGUUCCAUGUACUUAACAGUGAAGAGAUACAAGGAUAGUCUUGAGAGGUAUUUAUAUUUUUAAUAAAAUAGAAACUCUGCAUAGUAACAUUGAUUUAGAGGCUGCAUUGCUGACUCAAGAUUUCCCAAGUAGAAGAGCAUAGGUUGCAUUUCCCACCCAGAUUCUUCGGUGUACCUUCUUUCAUUUGACAAGAAGGGUCCCUGGGAGAAUUUGUCCAACUUAUGUGGUGAACUGCUAACUUAUCAGGGUUCCCUAAAGGGAGAGAAAAACUAAUUUCUGUCUAUGCCUUUUUUCAGCUAGAUCAGUUAAUUACCUUUAAAUUAAAAAUUAAUGACUAGAGGUAGAUACCGAGAGAUGCAUUUUUACCUAAGUCCGUCCCUUCCCCUUCCUUAUGUCCAGACCUAAUACAGAGGCAGAAACGUGUCAUCAGAAAUCCUUAGGGGCUUGAGGGGAAUCUAUGUUCCUUCCAGGCAGUGUAAUUCCCUUGAAGUCUAUGUCAUGUUGAGAACUUUUCUUGACUGCACUGCAUUGGAGCUAUUCUUUACUUAAAUUGUUUGGCCUAGUGGUCCUGGUAGAAAAAAAGACAUCUAGUACUGGAUAACUCUCUCUCUCUCUCUCUCUCCUCUUUUUUGCAGACUCUUGUAGACUGUUGUCCUCAGAAAUCAGUGGUCUGGGAGUUAUUUAGGAGUGACUGAGGUUACAGCUUCAAGUAGCCUGAUAAGUAGUCAUUUUAGAUCCUUAAAGCUCCUUGUCUCUGGUUUCAUCUUCAGAUUUUCCUCAAGAAAAUUCUUUGGCUAGGUCAAAGAAAGUACACAAUAAGUGAUAUUGCACUAACAAAAAUAAGUUAGGAAAUUUUGAGAUCCCUUUAAACAUUCCCUUACUCAUGCAAGCUGUCAUUUUUCGUGUUUAAGCUGUGAAAAUGCACCCAUUUCUCUUUUGUUAAAUAAACUCUCUGCUAGAAUACUACUGCUAAAUUAAUUGGCUGUUAGAGUAAGCUAAUAUGUUUCUUACUUCAGUAGGCUCUAUUUUAAGAAUGUGUUAAACAUACUUAUACAUCUAGAUUAUAUUAUUAUGAUAGAGAAAAACAAGGACUCUAGUUGGCAUAUACUUGGGAAUACCAAGUGGGAAUAUUGUUAAUGUAGUUCCAACACCAGAUAAAUAGAAUUAUCUUCAGCAAAGUCUAUAAGGAUUCUCAUUCCCAAACCUUAUUUCAGAAUUCCUUUUGUGUCCAUAUUUCUUACCUUCUGGCCAAUUUCACAUCACAACUUUUUAAUGUCACUACAUAUGUGAGCCAAAGAUAGUGCAUAUAUAGUCAAAAGCAUUUGGUUUUAAAUGUAUAUGGAACCAGAUGGAAAAAAAACAGGGCAGGAUGCAGUACAGGUUAGUAGUUAAAUGUAUAGGCUCUGGAAUAAAUCUGAGGUAAAAAAAAAAAAAAAAGGAACCAAAAAUGUACUGCAUUUUCUUUGUGGAAUAAAAACCCUCUUGAGUUGUGCUGUUUUCAUAAGACUAUUGAAGUGGUCUUGACUCAGUUUGUGUAACAGUAUUACAGGUGGUCUUCUCUAUAAUUGAACUAUUUACCAUCCACUAUUCUUGAGAGCUUAAGGAUUUGCUUACUCAAGGUCAGUUGGUGGUUGGUAAACAUUGUUUGACCUUUUGCAUCCUGUGAGACACCAUAAAGCUACUAAGGUGUAGAGUAGACUCAGCUCAAAAUAUUGGAGGUUAUACAUUUAUUUCUGAAUAGAAUGCUGACCUCACUCACAUGAGAAAGAACAGAGGUAAGGUCCAGCUUUGUAGUUCAUAUGAAGCAAAAGGGUUUUUUUCCCCUUGCUGAAUAUAACUGUGCUCUCAUAUGGGCUCAAAGGACCUAAAUAGAUUCAAUAGUUGAGCGGUGGAAUUUGAUGUUUGUUUUCACUGUUGACCAGUAACACCAUUUUGGAAAUUGAGUUUCCCAAAUGAGCUUUGUUUGUAAACUUUGAACAUGUCAAAAAUGGACAGUUUAGUAAAUCCUUUCUACCAACAUCACUUUUUUUUUCUUACUCCUUUUUUCUCUAUGUUAUUGCCUGCAGCAGUUACAGUCACUCAUGCUAAGUAGAAUUUGAAUAAAGCUAAUAUUAGCAAAAAUAUACUGUUUGACCUCUUUCCCCACUGCUUAUGAAGGUGUGGCAUGAUUUUGUGUUUUGAACCAGUAUGUUUCAGCUGUGAAAUGCACUCACUGUAAGCACUGAGCUUGAGUGCAUGGAAACUGUUAUGCUUCUCAUUUUAUGUGAUCGCCUAAUUGGUAUGUAGCAAAAUAUAAUUUUCUAAAACUGUUUUGUUGCUUGUUUUGUAAUAAAACCAUGUGAAAUACUGAAA